Molecule: ribosomal RNA, 173 nt
Filed under: uncultured cyanobacterium
Lineage: Bacteria; Bacillati; Cyanobacteriota
Description: partial 16S ribosomal RNA
Rfam family: Bacterial small subunit ribosomal RNA
Source: RNAcentral
UCCUACGGGAGGCAGCAGUGAGGAAUUUUCCGCAAUGGGCGCAAGCCUGACGGAGCAAUACCGCGUGGAGGAGGAAGGCCCGUGGGUCGUAAACUCCUUUUCUCAGAGAAGAACGCAAUGACGGUAUCUGAGGAAUAAGCAUCGGCUAACUCCGUGCCAGCAGCCGCGGUAAU